UCUUUUGCCCGCCUGGGCUCGGCCGGGGGUCUGCCAGUGCUGUAUCGCCGGUGCCCGGGUGCUGGGGCCGGUCCCAGGAGCCACACAGCUGCGGCUUUUUAGCGCGGGGGCGAACCGGGCGCCUUUUUUCCCCCUUUUCCCCCACCGCUCCUGAUGUACAGAGCGAGGACUUGCUGAAGAGGGUGCUCGGAGCUGUGAGAAAGGCCGGCGAGGGUCUCCCUUCUCCCUAAACGCGGGUGUGCUGAGCAGCGGGUGGCGGGAGGGUGCGAAGCAGCCCCCGCAGCAUGGCCCAGGAACAAAAAAGUGAAGAACGAAGUAGACAUGUGAGAGGCAAUAGAGCAGAAGACUAUAUUGAAUCACUGCUCACUGAUGCCUUUAAAGGGAAGGGGUUUCAAAAAAUACAUGAACUGAUUCAAGAGAAGGAAGUAGAGCCUCCCCAGAAAUACAGUGAAUCUCUCUUUAACCAGCUGGACAAAGCACUGA
Molecule: long non-coding RNA, 483 nt
Organism: Parus major (Great Tit)
Lineage: Eukaryota; Metazoa; Chordata; Aves; Passeriformes; Paridae
Exons: 3
Source: RefSeq, a predicted model, not a curated record